UUAACACCAUUUCUACCAAUUGAAAUAUAAAGUAGAGUGAUGCAUAUCACGAACCUACAAACUUUCGGGUAUGCUCGUGACGGAUUCUAAUUGCGCCGAACAAGAGACAGGAAAGUGGGAAAGUACAAGAAUUUAGCUUAAAAGGAAUGGAGCAAAUGAGGAUUUUUAUAAUGAAAUCUUAGAAAACUACAGAAACACAAUAAGUUGUAAUCUAGAAAUUACUGCUACUGGAAUUGCUGAAAAAGCGUGAGAAGAGUUGUCAAGAUCAAAAAUGAAAAUAUUUAUUGCCGUGGUAUUGAUGUCGAUGUUAUAUUCUGGAGAGGUUUCAUCGUUAGAAUGGAUGGAUGAAGAAUCUAGCUGGAGAUGGCUAGAUGAACAUUGUAAAAAACUUGGUGUGCUGGCAGUAACUGACAAUCCACAAGCUCUCUAUACUGUGAACAAAUGGAAAUGCAAAGACUUCAAACCUACGCGCAUUAGUACAGUUGAAUGCCACAGACUAUGCCCACGUACUUGGCUGGGCACCCAGAGAACAUUGGUAAUGCGGAACAAGUGCGACUACAUCGGAUUAACCCUACGAAUAACAUGUGAUUGUUUGAAUCGCGUAAAAUAAUAUGUAUCUUCUAACAUAUGUUAGAAUAGUCGAGACAAUGCACAACUGUUAAAUACUGAAAUGAUAGAAGUCGAGCUUUAUAGUAGUUUUGCAUAUGUUAUCUAUAAGUAAAUAUAAUAGAAACUGUUCACGUAUGUUUGUGUAACACAUAGCUGUAUGGAGUAGACUAUUUUAUUACUAACAUUAUUGUAUAUCUUAUUUAUUGAUAAUCACUGUCCGACUUAUGCAACUAUUUAGUUAACAGACUUUCAAAGUUAUACAUUGUUUUAUUUUAGUGAAACGUACCUAUUUUACGAUUGUAGUAAUCGGAACCUAGGCUUGAUUCAAGUAUAGUAAGAUUAACUAUUUUCAUAUGUGAUCAUUUACGUAAUCAAUGAAUUUUUAAUAAUAUACUUGAUUGUGUUAAAGCUUUUCCAGAAGUGUUGUUGGUUUGUAUUUUUUUUGCCAAUUUCAUGGGAUCUAACCAUGAAAUAACACAUCUUUACUUUGUUGGUGUUUUUAAUAUAUACUAGUUCCACUAUUUCAUUGUUAUCCUUUUUGUUCAAAGUGCUAGUUAGCUGUAGCAAAAUAGGUAAUUUCUUAAUGUAUGCUUUUUUCUUAUUAUUUUCCAGUAGUCCGGGCCUUUUUAAGUUUAGAAUGGUAUAAAGAAAAAACCACAAUAUUUACAUUAUUUCUAGUUUUGGCAUGCUACCCAUCCACCUGAGUAUUUUCAGAUUUACAUACAUGCUAUCAAACAAUCAACCCAAAUGUAGGUUUGUUUUUUUACUAAUCGAAAUGUUUUAUUCAAUCUAAUUCCUUGUCUGACUUAUUUACGUUUGUAUAUUUAUUUUUAUAUUAAUUCCAUUACAUUUGAUAUGUGAUAACCUAUUGGAUUAAGAAUUUGUCAGUAAUGAAUAUACAUAUACCACAUAUAAACUGCUUUAUCAUCGAGAAUUCAUUUUAUUGCUAACCAGGAAGAGUGUCCAAAAAUGUGAUGU
Styela clava is the source of this 1587-nucleotide long non-coding RNA. RefSeq lists it as uncharacterized. The record is from RefSeq and is a predicted model, not a curated record. NCBI's taxonomy places the organism in Eukaryota, Metazoa, Chordata, Ascidiacea, Stolidobranchia, Styelidae.